RNAcentral lists this ribosomal RNA (497 nucleotides) under uncultured bacterium. Its description in RNAcentral is "partial 16S ribosomal RNA". It matches the Rfam family "Bacterial small subunit ribosomal RNA", at positions 28 to 507 of the family's 1533-position model. The record is from RNAcentral.
GAUGAGCGCUGGCGGCGUGCCUAAUACAUGCAAGUCGAGCGAACGGACGAGAAGCUUGCUUCUCUGAUGUUAGCGGCGGACGGGUGAGUAACACGUGGAUAACCUACCUAUAAGACUGGUAUAACUUCGGGAAACCGGAGCUAAUACCGGAUAAUAUUUUGAACCGCAUGGUUCAAAAGUGAAAGACGGUCUUGCUGUCACUUAUAGAUGGAUCCGCGCUGCAUUAGCUAGUUGGUAAGUUAACGGCUUACCAAGGCAACGAUGCAUAGCCGACCUGAGAGGGUGAUCGGCCACACUGGAACUGAGACCCGGUCCAGACGCCUACGGGAGGCAGCAGUAGGGAAUCUUCCGCAAUAGGCGAAAGCCUGACGGAGCAACGCCGCGUGAGUGAUGAAGGUCUUCGGAUCGUAAAACUCUGUUAUUAGGGAAGAACAUAUGUGUAAGUAACUGUGCACAUCUUGACGGUACCUAAUCAGAAAGCCACGGCUAACUACGUG